CCCUUAGAUGUUCUGGGCUGCACGCGCGCUACACUGAAGCGUUCAACGAGUAUUCACCUUGCCCGGGAGGGUUGGGUAAUCUUUUGAAAACGCUUCGUGAUGGGGAUAGAUUAUUGCAAUUAUUAAUCUUCAACGAGGAAUUCCUAGUAAGCGCGAGUCAUCAGCUCGUGCUGAUUACGUCCCUGCCCUUUGUACACACCGCCCGUCGCUCCUACCGAUUGAGUGAUUUAGUGAGGACUUCGGACUGGGACCGAUGCGGCUUUCGGGCUGCGUCGGUAUUCUGGAAAGAUGUCCAAACUGUAUCAUUUAGAGGAAGUAAAAGUCGUAACA
This 330-nucleotide ribosomal RNA is filed under the name uncultured eukaryote. RNAcentral's name for it is "partial 18S ribosomal RNA". It matches the Rfam family "Eukaryotic small subunit ribosomal RNA", at positions 1470 to 1796 of the family's 1831-position model. The record is from RNAcentral.